Molecule: ribosomal RNA, 301 nt
Filed under: uncultured bacterium
Lineage: Bacteria
Description: partial 16S ribosomal RNA
Rfam family: Bacterial small subunit ribosomal RNA
Source: RNAcentral
CAGUAGCCGCGGUAAUACGGAGGGGGCUAGCGUUGUUCGGAAUUACUGGGCGUAAAGCGCACGUAGGCGGCUUGGUAAGUUAGAGGUGAAAGCCUGGAGCUCAACUCCAGAAUUGCCUUUAAGACUGCCGAGCUAGCAGGUGAGAGAGGUAAGUGGAAUUCCGAGUGUAGAGGUGAAAUUCGUAGAUAUUCGGAAGAACACCAGUGGCGAAGGCGGCUUACUGGCUCAUACUGGACGCUGAGGUGCGAAAGCGUGGGGAGCAAACAGGAUUAGAUACCCCUGUAGUCCCUGUCUCUUAUAC